Molecule: ribosomal RNA, 477 nt
Filed under: Candidatus Scalindua brodae
Lineage: Bacteria; Pseudomonadati; Planctomycetota; Candidatus Brocadiia; Candidatus Brocadiales; Candidatus Scalinduaceae
Description: bacterial SSU rRNA
Rfam family: Bacterial small subunit ribosomal RNA
Source: RNAcentral
UUCGCAAUGCCCGAAAGGGUGACGAAGCGACGCCGCGUGGGUGAGGAAGGCCUUCGGGUUGUAAAGCCCUGUCAGGAGUUAAGAAAUGUAAGUGUGCUAAUAUCGCAUUUACUUGACGAAGGCUCCAAAGGAAGUCACGGCUAACUCUGUGCCAGCAGCCGCGGUAAUACAGAGGUGGCAAGCGUUGUUCGGAAUUAUUGGGCGUAAAGAGCACGUAGGUGGGUUUGUAAGUCAGAUGUGAAAGCCUCCUGUUCAACGGGAGAAUUGCAUCUGAAACUACUGAUCUUGAGUGUAGGAGGGGAGAGUGGAACUUCUGGUGGAGCGGUGAAAUGCGUAGAUAUCAGAAGGAACGUCGGCGGCGAAAGCGACUCUCUGGCCUAUUACUGACACUGAGUGUGCGAAAGUUAGGGGAGCAAACGGGAUUAGAUACCCCGGUAGUCCUAGCCGUAAACGAUGGGCACUAAGUAGAGGGGUUUU